Molecule: ribosomal RNA, 253 nt
Filed under: uncultured bacterium
Lineage: Bacteria
Description: partial 16S ribosomal RNA
Rfam family: Bacterial small subunit ribosomal RNA
Source: RNAcentral
UACGUAGGGGGCUAGCGUUGCUCGGAAUUACUGGGCGUAAUGGGCGCGUAGGCGGAUAGUUUAGUCAGAGGUGAAAGCCCAGGGCUCAACCUUGGAAUUGCCUUUGAUACUGACUGGCUUGAGUACGGGAGAGGUGAGUGGAACUCCGAGUGUAGAGGUGAAAUUCGUAGAUAUUCGGAAGAACACCAGUGGCGAAGGCGACUCACUGGCCCGUUACUGACGCUGAGGCGCGAAAGCGUGGGGAGCAAACAGG